UGGGGGAUAUUGCGCAAUGGGGGAAACCCUGACGCAGCAACGCCGCGUGAAGGAAGAAGGUCUUCGGAUUGUAAACUUUUGUCUUAUGGGACGAAAAAAAUGACGGUACCAUAGGAGGAAGCCACGGCUAACUACGUGCCAGCAGCCGCGGUAAUACGUAGGUGGCGAGCGUUGUCCGGAAUUACUGGGUGUAAAGGGCGUGUAGGCGGAGACUUAAGUCAGAUGUGAAAUUCCCGGGCUCAACUCGGGCGCUGCAUUUGAAACUGAGUUUCUUGAGUGAUGGAGAGGAAAGCGGAAUUCCUAGUGUAGCGGUGAAAUGCGUAGAUAUUAGGAGGAACACCAGUGGCGAAGGCGGCUUUCUGGACAUUAACUGACGCUGAGGCGCGAAAGCGUGGGGAGC
RNAcentral lists this ribosomal RNA (400 nucleotides) under uncultured bacterium. RNAcentral's name for it is "bacterial SSU rRNA". It matches the Rfam family "Bacterial small subunit ribosomal RNA", at positions 355 to 769 of the family's 1533-position model. The record is from RNAcentral.